This 688-nucleotide long non-coding RNA is filed under the name Felis catus (domestic cat). RNAcentral describes it as "lncRNA (ENSFCAG00000049371.1)". Lineage: Eukaryota; Metazoa; Chordata; Mammalia; Carnivora; Felidae. The record is from RNAcentral.
CUUGUUCUUGUUCUUGUUUCAUCCAUCCCUUUUAGAAGCUCAGAAAUCACAGAACUUUGUCCAGGCUUCUUUUCCCAGGAAUGUUGAUCACAGUGAAGCUUCCAAGGCUCCGGUUCAGCUCCCCUGCAUCCCUAGGAAAUGACCUCAGACUUUGACUUCCAUCCUAGAGAUCUGCAAAGAAGGCCCUAACCCCUCAACUUCCAAGCAUCAUUUCCAUGAACUAAAAACUCUCACUAGAAAGUAACUAAAAAUCCUAGGCUCCCCCAGGAUCAUGUAGUGAUUCUGCUUCUCAUCCUAACCCACUAGAUUUCCACCAUCCCAAUGUUUGCUGUUAUACGGUAUGAGCCAUAUAUAGCUCAGAUGAAGAAAAGAUGGAUUUAGAGACAAAGAGUGGGCCAUGAUAACCAGUCGGAUCAAGCACCUGCAUUGGGAGUAUGAGAAAGAUGGUGCUCUUCUAGUUUUGGACCCCAGCGGUGAGUAGGAAGGCCAUGUCAUCCUGCCCUAGCAGUGAGGAGCACUGGAGCAGAGGAGGAAGAAUUCUAAUGCAGACGUGUUCCAGCAUGAAGCACAUACCUGGGACAUAGAAGAUGCUCAGUAACAAUGGGAUAUCCUAGCUUUACUUUGAGAGAGGCAAUCUGGUAAGUUAUAUGCCUUUGAACAAAAAGUUUCUUUAUUUUAUUAUGGCUUA